Musa acuminata subsp. malaccensis (wild Malaysian banana) is the source of this 535-nucleotide non-coding RNA. Lineage: Eukaryota; Viridiplantae; Streptophyta; Magnoliopsida; Zingiberales; Musaceae. The record is from RefSeq and is a predicted model, not a curated record.
ACGACGCUGCCUUCGUAUUGCGCUCCUCGUUCAAAUCCGAUCGCUCCAUAGAUCGAAGCAUCGGCCACUGCGACGGCGAUUACUUCCUCUGGUCUCCCCUGCUGCCUUCGAAACCCACCUCUCACCCUCCCCGAAUCCCUUCUCCCAAUGCCAUACCCCGAGAAAAACCCUAAAUCAAGAAUCGUUCCCGCCCGAUUCAUUUCAAGAAUCCGGUAUUGAAGUCAUAGUCCUUCUCUCGUCGAUCAAUUUGGGAAAAUCCUUGGCGAGGAAGCUCAUCAGCGUCUCCGAUGCUCGCUACGCUCCGAUCUCGCUUCCAUCUGCUGCCCUUCGUUAAUUUCAGUUUGAAAUAGCAAGCUCAGCGGCUGCAUGGAUCGGUGUGGAAUGUAAAUUCUGUAGUUUCAUCAAGGUGCUUAGUGGUGAGCACGCCAACGACGAUAGUAGCGAGUCUAUGUACUAUUUUGUCUUUCAUAAAGUUUGGAAGUAGGCAUCCCCACCACCAUCACUGUAGCAGUUUUGAGGUCGAAGAUGUUGAUUA